CCUACGGGAGGCAGCAGUGGGGGAUAUUGCGCAAUGGGCGAAAGCCUGACGCAGCGACGCCGCGUGAGGGAUGAAGGUCUUCGGAUCGUAAACCUCUGUCAGCAGGGAAGAACGGUCACUGUGCUAAUCAGCAGUGAAUUGACGGUACCUGCAAAGGAAGCACCGGCUAACUCCGUGCCAGCAGCCGCGGUAAAAACGAGGGGGCGGGCGGUAAUCGGAAUUACUGGGGCUAAAGCGCUCGUAGGAGGGAUGUCAAGUCAAGGGUGAAAUCCCCGGGCGCAACGUGGGGGAUGGCUUUGGAACUGGCAAAGUGGAGUGUGUGAGAGGAUAGUGGAAUUCCAGGUGUAGGAGUGGAA
RNAcentral lists this ribosomal RNA (356 nucleotides) under uncultured bacterium. Its description in RNAcentral is "partial 16S ribosomal RNA". It matches the Rfam family "Bacterial small subunit ribosomal RNA", at positions 338 to 686 of the family's 1533-position model. The record is from RNAcentral.